GUGGAUUAGAUACCCUGGUAGUCCACGCCCUAAACGAUGUCAACUGGUUGUUGGAGGAGUUAAAUCCUUUAGUAACGAAGCUAACGCGUGAAGUUGACCGCCUGGGAAGUACGGCCGCAAGGUUAAAACUCAAAGGAAUUGACGGGGGCCCGCACAAGCGGUGGAUUAUGUGGAUUAAUUCGAUGCAACGCGAAAAACCUUACCUACCCUUGACAUGCUAGGAACUUGCCAGAGAUGGCUUGGUGCCCGAAAGGGAGCCUAGACACAGGUGCUGCAUGGCCGUCGACAACU
Molecule: ribosomal RNA, 291 nt
Filed under: uncultured bacterium
Lineage: Bacteria
Description: partial 16S ribosomal RNA
Rfam family: Bacterial small subunit ribosomal RNA
Source: RNAcentral